CCUACGGGCGGCUGCAGUGAGGAAUAUUGGUCAAUGGACGAGAGUCUGAACCAGCCAAGUAGCGUGAAGGAUGACUGCCCUAUGGGUUGUAAACUUCUUUUAUAAAGGAAUAAAACGAGGCACGUGUGCCUUUUUGCAUGUACUUUAUGAAUAAGGAUCGGCUAACUCCGUGCCAGCAGCCGCGGUACUACGGAGGAUCCGAGCGUUAUCCGGAUUUAUUGGGUUUAAAGGGAGCGUAGAUGGGUUGUUAAGUCAGUUGUGAAAGUUUGCGGCUCAACCGUAAAAUUGCAAUUGAUACUGGCAGUCGUGAGUACAGUUGAGGUAGGCGGAAUUCGUGGUGUAGCGGUGAAAUGCUUAGAGAUCACGAAGAACCCCGAUUGCGAAGGCAGCUUACUAAACUGUGACUGACAUUGAUGCGCGAAAGUGUGGGUAUCAAACAGGAUUAGAUACCCGUGUAGUC
This 460-nucleotide ribosomal RNA is filed under the name uncultured bacterium. RNAcentral describes it as "partial 16S ribosomal RNA". It matches the Rfam family "Bacterial small subunit ribosomal RNA", at positions 338 to 795 of the family's 1533-position model. The record is from RNAcentral.